GCGCCAUGCCUGUUUCUAGCGACAUCUUUGCGGACUUCUAAUCCGCGGGUCGCAGGUUCGAAUCCUGCCGGGCGCG
RNAcentral lists this transfer RNA (76 nucleotides) under Actinomycetota bacterium. RNAcentral describes it as "tRNA-Ser". It matches the Rfam family "tRNA". From Rfam's summary of the family: Transfer RNA (tRNA) molecules are approximately 80 nucleotides in length. Their secondary structure includes four short double-helical elements and three loops (D, anti-codon, and T loops). Further hydrogen bonds mediate the characteristic L-shaped molecular structure. tRNAs have two regions of fundamental functional importance: the anti-codon, which is responsible for specific mRNA codon recognition, and the 3' end, to which the tRNAs corresponding amino acid is attached (by aminoacyl-tRNA synthetases). tRNAs cope with the degeneracy of the genetic code in two manners: having more than one tRNA (with a specific anti-codon) for a particular amino acid; and 'wobble' base-pairing, i.e. permitting non-standard base-pairing at the 3rd anti-codon position. The record is from RNAcentral. Lineage: Bacteria; Bacillati; Actinomycetota.